RNAcentral lists this ribosomal RNA (556 nucleotides) under uncultured Gammaproteobacteria bacterium. Its description in RNAcentral is "bacterial SSU rRNA". It matches the Rfam family "Bacterial small subunit ribosomal RNA", at positions 338 to 886 of the family's 1533-position model. The record is from RNAcentral. Lineage: Bacteria; Pseudomonadati; Pseudomonadota; Gammaproteobacteria.
CCUGCGGGAGGCAGCAGUGUGGAAUAUUGCACAAUGGGCGCAAGCCUGAUACACCCAUGCCGCGUGUGUGAAGAAGCCCUUCGGGUUGUAAAGCAUUUUCAGCGAGGAGGAAGGGUUCAGUGUUAAUAGCACCGUUCAUUGACGUUACUCGCAGAAGAAGCACCGGCUAACUCCGCGCCAGCAGCCCCGGUAAUACGGAGGGUGCAAGCGUUAAUCGGAAUUACUGGGCGUAAAGCGCACGCAGGCGGUUUGUUUAGUCAGAUGUGAAAUCCCCGAGCUUAACUUGGGAACUGCAUUUGAAACUGGCAAACUAGAGUCUUGUAGAGGGGGGUAGAAUUCCAGGUGUAGCGGUGAAAUGCGUAGAGAUCUGGAGGAAUACCGGUGGCGAAGGCGGCCCCCUGGACAAAGACUGACGCUCAGGUGCGAAAGCGUGGGGAGCAAACAGGAUUAGAUACCCUGGUAGUCCACGCUGUAAACGAUGUCGACUUGGAGGUUGUGCCCGUGAGGCUUGGCUUCCGGAGCUAACGCGAUAAGUCGUCCGCCUGGGGAGUACGGC